RNAcentral lists this small RNA (328 nucleotides) under Cylindrospermum stagnale PCC 7417. RNAcentral's name for it is "5' ureB small RNA". It matches the Rfam family "5' ureB small RNA". Lineage: Bacteria; Bacillati; Cyanobacteriota; Cyanophyceae; Nostocales; Nostocaceae. The record is from Rfam by way of RNAcentral.
CAGUUUCGAUUUGCUGGGGACAAAUAAAGUGAAUGUGGGUAUCAAUGGCCCCGGCUGUGACAAUUCUGCCUUCUCCCGCUAUCACUUCGGUGCCUGGGCCAAUGAUGAUAUCUACGCCGUCUUGGGUGUAGGGAUUGCCGGCUUUGCCAAUUUUGAAUAUUUUGCCGUUUCUAAUGCCAAUAUCGGCUUUGACGAUGCCCCACCAAUCAAGAAUCAAGGCGUUGGUAAUGACUACAUCUACGGCUUGGUUGACACCAUCGCCAAUCUUGGGAGAAUUCCCUAAGAUAUCGGUGCCAUUGAUUAAGGGAGACUGUCCCAUCCCAUCCCG